Long non-coding RNA from Daphnia carinata, 1523 nucleotides. RefSeq lists it as uncharacterized. The record is from RefSeq and is a predicted model, not a curated record. NCBI's taxonomy places the organism in Eukaryota, Metazoa, Arthropoda, Branchiopoda, Diplostraca, Daphniidae. The transcript has 13 exons.
UUUCUAGUUCUGUGUCGUGUGUGAGAUUGGUGGCGUGCAUCUGACGCGCGAAAUAUUGGACACAUGAGGCAGCAAUGAGUCCUUGUAUUUUUUCUUCUAAAUUUUAAAGAAUAUCACAAGUUGUGAACAAGAAUUCGUGGUGCCUUGGCCCUCGUUCUCUCAUCUCCAUGCCAGAUGGCCUUUAAGAAGGAUCAUAAAUAAGAGUUUGUCUGUUUGCUAUCUUGGACGGCAACUCGUGUCCUUAAAAGUAAUCACGAUAGGCACAUUGCGAUACAGGAUUGUGGAGACAAACAUUGUGGUUCCAGCUAUUAUCCUUAGACAUUUGCAGCUUCUGAGCACUGAGAAAAGAUUGUUGCUGAUGUAGAGUUUUUUAUCGUUGGACCCCACAGUCCAAGACAGAAAUAAAUAGGACAAAAACUUCCAUCUGCAUUACUAACAAAAGAAAAGGCACAUUUUUAGAUUGGCUUAAUUGAUCUACUUUUUUUCUGUCUGGGGUCACAAGUGUCAUGAAGCUGGCCACACCUCGAAAGGCUGCCUGAAUCUAUUCAGUGAAUUGACAGAAAGUUGGAAAGCAGCAUCAGCAAUACAUUCCGGAAGCUGUGACAUGCAUUGAAAAGGAACUGUUUAAGGGCAUGGCGGCGGAGUGAAUGUUUCCCCAAGAAAACAUUGUUAACAUUCACCACCACCAGAAACUUUAAUUUGAGAAUACCUAAUAUUUGAAACUCCUUUUCAAAUUACUAAAUGAAUGAGAAUAUCACAAGUUGUGAACAAGACAUUGUGGUGCCUUGGUCCUCGUUCUCUUAUCUCCAUGCCAGAUGGCCAUUAAGAAAGAUCAUAAAUUUUCAUCUUAUACCAUGAACGCAAGAAAAGUUUAUCUGCUUGCUAUCAUUGACGUGUCAUGAAGCUGGCCACACCUCGAAAGGCUGCCCGAAUCUAUUCAAUGAAUUGAAGGAAGAUGGAAAGCCAAGGCAUCGUCUGUGGGGAACGACUUCAGUUGCAGUUAUUCCUAAUACUUAAUUAGUUAAGAUAUUGCCGGCGUCAACUAUGUCGUAAAUUAUGACUUACCAACUUAUAUUGAAGAAUGAAGAGUAUGAUCAUCGUGUUGGUCGAACGAGCGGCGUGGGAAAUGUCGAUGACGAAGAAAGAGAUGGACCUAACGCUGGAGAGUGUGUUUGUUUACUAAGCCCAAGGCCGAUGUACCGUCAUUCAUGCAAGCGAUGGUCCCAGGCCUGAGUUACGACUUUAGCGCCCCUUCGACUCAAGGGGGUUUCGCUAGUCGAGAUAGGCGCUGACAGUUCGGCGAUAAACUGGAUUUGCUGCCUUGCCCACUGAAGUUGAAGAGAGUUGGGGUUAACUCAAUGUAAUUAACCAAAAUUCGUAUCCAAGAACAUCUUGGAAUUUGAAAUGUCUGUUUGAAAAUUUGAUUACGUGGUUAUUUUGCUAACCCAUUUACCUGAAUAGAGGAAAAAUUCAUUUUGUGUAAGGAAACAGUUAAUGGGAAUAUUUUAAAUUAUUCUUCUCCA